Long non-coding RNA from Schistocerca nitens (vagrant locust), 293 nucleotides. RefSeq lists it as uncharacterized. The record is from RefSeq and is a predicted model, not a curated record. The transcript is spliced from 3 exons. NCBI's taxonomy places the organism in Eukaryota, Metazoa, Arthropoda, Insecta, Orthoptera, Acrididae.
AGGUUUGUCACUCAUCUGCAGAACACAAUGAGUCCCAUGGCAAUAAUGCAAUUCGGAGCCAGUGUUUUUGUCAUAUGCUUUGCAUUAUUUCAAGCAACAUAUAGCAAGGACUUCAGUUCAGCACUGAAGUGCACAUCUUUUCUCCCCGUUCCGUGUACACAAGUCUACCUCUAUUGCUGGGCCGCUAACGAGGUAACUAUACAAGCGGAGGCAGUAUCACUGGCUGCUUACAGCUCCUCAUGGGUGGAGACCAGUCCCCGUUUCAAGCUCGCCUUGAGGAUUCUCAUCAGUCG